GAUGAACGCUGGCGGCGUGCCUAAUACAUGCAAGUCGAGCGAACGGACGAGAAGCUUGCUUCUCUGAUGUUAGCGGCGGACGGGUGAGUAACACGUGGAUAACCUACCUAUAAGACUGGGAUAACUUCGGGAAACCGGAGCUAAUACCGGAUGAUAUUUUGAACCGCAUGGUUCAAAAGUGAAAGACGGUCUUGCUGUCACUUAUAGAUGGAUCCGCGCUGCAUUAGCUAGUUGGUAAGGUAACGGCUUACCAAGGCAACGAUGCAUAGCCGACCUGAGAGGGUAAUCGGCCACACUGGAACUGAGACACGGUCCAGACUCCUACGGGAGGCAGCAGUAGGGAAUCUUCCGCAAUGGGCGAAAGCCUGACGGAGCAACGCCGCGUGAGUGAUGAAGGUCUUCGGAUCGUAAAACUCUGUUAUUAGGGAAGAACAUAUGUGUAAGUAACUGUGCACAUCUUGACGGUACCUAAUCAGAAAGCCACGGCUAACUACGCG
This 497-nucleotide ribosomal RNA is filed under the name uncultured bacterium. RNAcentral describes it as "partial 16S ribosomal RNA". It matches the Rfam family "Bacterial small subunit ribosomal RNA", at positions 28 to 507 of the family's 1533-position model. The record is from RNAcentral.